RNAcentral lists this long non-coding RNA (994 nucleotides) under Daucus carota (carrot). Its description in RNAcentral is "long non-coding RNA (DCAR_LNC000747)". Lineage: Eukaryota; Viridiplantae; Streptophyta; Magnoliopsida; Apiales; Apiaceae. The record is from RNAcentral.
GUUGCUUAUGUCCUUUCAGGGAUGUAUGGCAGUGUCAAUCAACUUGGAGUUGGUAAUGCGAUUCUCAUUGUUGUGCAGCUUUUGUUUUGCUGGAAUAAUUUUGAUAUGUUUAGAUGAACUUCUUCCGAAGAGAUAUGGUCUUGGCUCUGGGAUUUCCUUAUUCAUAGUAGCUACUAAUAUCUGGUAAGACAUUGUUACUUUUGCCAACAAAAUCAUAAAAUAAUUGUAUGCUCCACAAAGCCUUACCAAGAAAAUAUGAUCUACUUUGCAGUGAAAGCAUCAUCUGGGAAGCAUUUAGCCCUACAACAAUUAACAGUGCUCGCGGAGCACAGUUUGAAGGUGCUGUUAUAGCAUUGUUCCAUUUGCUAAUAACUAGGACAGACAAAGUUCGAGCUCUUCGAGAAGCUUUCUACCGGCAGAAUCUUCCAAAUGUGACUAAUCUGCUUGCUACUGUUCUGAUCUUCCUUGUUGUAAUCUACAUCCAAGGAAUCCUUGUGGUUUUGCCUGUGAAGUAGCAUUAUAAUUUUUUUUUAAACCAUAGAUGUUGAUUCUUCAAAAUUUGAACUGCUAUGGGUCAUCAUUGGAAUAGCUUGCUAGUUCUUGUUGUGCAUGGUAUAACACUACAAUUUGGUGAAUCAGGCUUUCAUAAUUUGGCCAAUCUACCUCAGCUUCUCUUAUCAAUUACUCAUCUGCCCGAUACUUAUUCAUAUUUGGUGUUAAUCUGUCAUGCCUUUGAUAAUACCUGUGUGGGAGCAACAAAUGGUGAUGCCGGGCCAUCGUGAUUCUAAUUUACAAAAGGAACUUAUAAAUCGCUACAUACCUACCGCAGCUGCUUUUGGGGGGAUCUGUAUUGGUGCAUUGACAAUAUUAGCAGACUUCAUGGGAGCUAUUGGCUCAGAGACAGGAAUUCUGCUUGCAUUUACAAUCAUCUAUCAGUUCUUUGAAAUAUAUUAGAAGGAGAAAGUCAGUGAACUAGGUUUGUUUUGCUUCUAAG